GAUUAUGGCUCAGGAUGAACGCUAGCUACAGGCUAACACAUGCAAGUCGAGGGGCAGCGGGAGGGAAGCUGCUUCCUGCCGGCGACCGGCGCACGGGUGAGUAACGCGUAUCCAACCUGGCCCAUAGUAGGGAAUAGCCCGGCGAAAGUCGGAUUAAUGCCCUAUGUUCUUUACAGCGGACAUCUAACGUAAAGCAAAGAUUUAUCGCUAUGGGAUGGGGGAUGCGUCUGAUUAGCUUGUCGGCGGGGUAACGGCCCACCGAGGCGACGAUCAGUAGGGGUUCUGAGAGGAAGGUCCCCCACAUUGGUACUGAGACACGGACCAAACUCCUACGGGAGGCAGCAGUGAGGAAUAUUGGUCAAUGGGCGUGAGCCUGAACCAGCCAAGUAGCGUGCAGGACGACUGCCCUAUGGGUUGUAAACUGUCUUUUAGUAGGGGAAUAAAGGUGGGGCACGCGUGCCUUUUUGUAUGUACCCUAUGAAUAAGGACCGGCUAAUUCCGUGCCAGCCGCAGC
This 514-nucleotide ribosomal RNA is filed under the name uncultured bacterium. RNAcentral describes it as "bacterial SSU rRNA". It matches the Rfam family "Bacterial small subunit ribosomal RNA", at positions 15 to 518 of the family's 1533-position model. The record is from RNAcentral.